Long non-coding RNA from Armigeres subalbatus, 398 nucleotides. RefSeq lists it as uncharacterized. The transcript has 3 exons. Lineage: Eukaryota; Metazoa; Arthropoda; Insecta; Diptera; Culicidae. The record is from RefSeq and is a predicted model, not a curated record.
UUUAACAAUAAUAUAACAAAGCAGCAGCAUUUUUCCUUUUAUUUGCAACAGGAUCUUGUUUUGCUCAGUGGUGUUCAGUGCGCUCAAAUUUAAUAAUAAUUGAAAUUAUUUAAAAUUCCGGAUAAGUGCCUCCUAAAUAAGCGAAAACAAAACUAGGGAAACUUCGUUUGGGACUGAUCGGCUUCUUGGUCGGCGUAUAUGUAUGAUAAAAUUACCGUGGCAUCUCACGGAACUGGGAGAUAAAUAGCGUAUUUCGGCAUUUGUCACCGAAGGAAUCAACUAAGAUGCACAGCUCGACAAGUGGCCCGGAAGAAGCAUCCAUGAUAAUUGUUCAGAUAUUUAACCUCAGGCGACGACAUAGAAUUAAAUUGUAAUGAAAUAAAAAGCAAUAAACUAAG